RNAcentral lists this ribosomal RNA (460 nucleotides) under uncultured bacterium. Its description in RNAcentral is "partial 16S ribosomal RNA". It matches the Rfam family "Bacterial small subunit ribosomal RNA", at positions 338 to 795 of the family's 1533-position model. The record is from RNAcentral.
CCUACGGGAGGCAGCAGUGAGGAAUAUUGGUCAAUGGACGAGAGUCUGAACCAGCCAAGUAGCGUGAAGGAUGACUGCCCUAUGGGUUGUAAACUUCUUUUAUAUAGGAAUAAAACGAGGCACGUGUGCCUUUUUGUAUGUACCUUAUGAAUAAGGAUCGGCUAACUCCGUGCCAGCAGCCGCGGUAAUACGGAGGAUCCGAGCGUUAUCCGGAUUUAUUGGGUUUAAAGGGAGCGUAGAUGGGUUGUUAAGUCAGUUGUGAAAGUUUGCGGCUCAACCGUAAAAUUGCAAUUGAUACUGGCAGUCUUGAGUACAGUAGAGGUGAGCGGAAUUCGUGGUGUAGCGGUGAAAUGCUUAGAUAUCACGAAGAACCCCGAGUGCGAAGGCAGCUUACUGGACUGUAACUGACAUUGAGGCUCGAAAGUGUGGGUAUCAAACAGGAUUAGAUACCCUGGUAGUC